GCUGUACUGGAGAGAGCCAGCUCUCCUUGCAGUCUGCUCCUUGGGCGUUUCUUCGAGGGCUGAGUUAGAAGGCUGUCCAUCAUUUCAAAAACAUCAGAGGAACCACGGCUGAGUGUUCUCCUGCUCCCACCUGUGCUUUGGGAUGCGAAAGAAUAACAUUAGCACACAGAGGCCUCCACUUCCUCUUGGAUGCAUCUGGACCAAUCUGGAUAAUUUUAUUAGGCAAUCCACUGAGCCUGUGAUCAGUCUGAGCAGCUGAUGACGAGCAGCGCCAGGAUACGGUACUGGGCUGCUGAUCAAUUUUGCAUCUUUCAGAAGACUUCAAAAUUUAGAUUCAUGAAGCAUCAAUCUCAUAAGCCACAGUCUCACCAUGAGGACAUUAGGGCAGUCACAUCUGUACAAAAUAUCUUCACCAGCAAUCUUUCACCCUCUGAAAAAUCUUUUCUUCUUGAAGACCAGAAAGAUUGUUAUUGAGCUUUCCACAAAGCUGAAAUAACGCUGUGUGUUAAAAAAAUGUUAACAAUUUGAAGAAGUUAUAAAAAUUUAUAAGUUGACUGAAUACUUUGGAAAUUUCUGCAUAUUUUAAUAUAAAUAGGCAUUGCAGGCACUGGGAAUAGACCUGGAGGGCUGUAGCUUUAGUGAGGGCCCCUGGACUGCAUGCUCCCUGCAGUUGGCAUUGUUCACCUGUGCUUCUGAGGUACCUCUUCCAGUUCUGUUUUGUCCAAAAGGAAUCCAGUCUGCACACCUGGGGCUUGCUCUGUGAUGCAAAGUGCAGCACGAGCCUGUCAUACAGAAGUACCAUUUACAGAGCACAGACACAGAGAGAAUUAAUGAUGUGCAUAAGUCUGCGUAAGGAAAUAUGUUACAGAACUGAUCUUGGAUUUCCUCAGCUUACGAUGUUUAGCCACUGGACUGGCUCUCCUCGUGAUCUGCAGCACAGUUACAUUCCUUUCUCGUUGUGGCUCUUGGUCAUCCCAUCCUGCACAGCCAAGGAGGCUGCCACAGAUACAGCGAUCAGGGAAGAGACUGUCCUCUUGCUGCUCUUGCUCUGUGGUGUAUCUAUCUAUAGACAGCCUGGCUAGUUUAUAAGUCCCGGAAUCAGGAUCCUACAGGAGUUGUACAGGAUAAACCACUUUUAUGAAAGAUCUUUUAUCUGGAUAAAAGAGAGCUACUGUGAAUCUUCUUCCACCGUGGUCAAGUUAUGCGCAGUGCAUAAUGUGAAAGACAAGUCUGGAAGUUUUAGAUACCAUCUUUUGAAGAGAAUGAAACUAGAUUCAGUACAGCUGUCUAUAGUAAGCCUCUGGAGUUGAUGAAUGAUAAUUUUGGUUCCUUCUCAGAUUGAGGAGUGGAUGACUAAUGUCGUUGUGACUGGUGCCAUCUAAUUGGCUCAAAAGAAUCUUCUGGUUGUUCUCAUGAUUGGCAUCACUUCCCAUCAUGUGCAAGCCAUUGGAGAGCAAAGACCAUCUUUUGAACUGUCAUGCCACCCCCAGCUCUCCAUUGCCUAACCGAGGGUGCUUUGCAAUUGUUCUUGCCUACUGUAGUGAUGGAUCAUGGGAAAAAGCUUGCUCAGAGAGCCUCAUUCUGGAUGGGAGAUUCCUCCGUACCACGUAACAGCAGAUGUUUUUAACGCAGGCCUGAUGGGGAGAGGUGGCACUCUGGUGAUGAAGAAAUACUCCACACCAUUCAGCAGCCUAGCGAGAAGAAGGCGUUGUGCUCAUUUUGAAAAAGGCCAGUGCAAAAGUUAGCUAGUUGAAUGAAAAGCAUGUGUCUUUUGAAGAACAGUGACUGAAAGAAAUACUGAUGACUGCUGGGACAUCUACAGAAAAGGAUAAGAAAAUUACUCUAUUACAACAGGGGCUCUGUUAACUCUUUCUUUGCUAUACAACCCUAGAGCCACAGCCACUUUGCAAGACAGAGAGGAGGAAGAUGGUGGUUGGAUUCACCAAGAGGGUGGAACAGUAUUUUGUCAUUAAUUGUUUUAGCUACCGAAUAACUGCUCUAGCUUUUCUCAGGGAUGGAGCUGCAGUGCCUUCCUCCAGGAUAGACUUGUGGGCUUUUCUCCAGGAGGGCAAAGAAAGAAGUGGACAACACUCAAACAUGUAACCUGUGUGGUGGAAGCAUGAGGACAACUUUGAAUGCACAGUGGACUCCAAGCUGUGUGGUAGCUACAGAUCAGCGGUGCUCAGGCAGGGUGUUAUCACGGGAGGUGCCUCCCAACCCGCAUGCAGUCAGGGAGCUGCGGUGCUGCGCAGAGGCACCUGCACUAGCCGGGAGGCUGGUGCUUGCCAGGCAGCCCCAUCUCCUGUGGGUUGUGCAGCAUCCGCACUCACCCUGCUGCAGUCCAAGCUAACCUGGGGCCAGCUCAAGACCUCCCAGCUCCCGGCUGUACACUCACAGAAGAGGAUCAGAUGGCCCCUUGGAUGCUUGCUGCCCUCCUUCCCAAACACACCCGCUGUCUGAUCCUUUUCCUCACUCUUCUUUAUGGAGAAACCCUUGAGUUGGAGAUCUAUAAACUGCCAGUAUAUGAGGGAUAAAGGCAUUCUGCAGUAGCUGGCAUUUUUGGCAUUUAAAUUAUUGAUAGUGUCCUAGAGUAUAAACCAUAUGUCUUGUUUUGGUGCUGCUCACGGGCAGGACAAAACUGAGGAAAACCUGAGGGACACCAAGGAGCAGUAUAUGGCAGGGAGGAGCCCCACUCCCCUGCCCACCUUUGGAUUUAUCCUGAGGAAUGGAGGCUUUGCAGUUCAUAUAGGCAGCGCCUUCCCUCAGCCUUGUAAAACUAAAGAUAAAUGCUAAUGGCAGAAGCCCUUCUCAGUAUGAAUGGGCAAACAUCAGCCCCUGAAAAAUGCACUUGCUGUUUUAGUUAAAAAUGAACAAAUCAGUUCUUGUGCUUUUGAGAAUUUAAACUUCCCUAAGUAAGCGAUAGAUUUUUCAGAAGAAAAAAAUUUACUAGGAGGCAAUCCAGUAAGUCACAUUAAGAAUAGGCAGGAGCCCUAGGAGGCCCAUAUUCAAAUCUUAGAUUUGUCAGCAUUUCCCAAUAUGGUCCUGGAAAAAUCAGCUAAAUCAUUUAUAAGACAAGAAUAAUCUUUCAGUGUAGUCACAGUGUACUUUUCUGACAAACCCAGAGCGGUGACAGGCUUGUUACAGCAGGAAUAAAAUUCACCUUGCUGCUGGGGUACUGUGGUAACUAAUUAGGUAAAACGUUUUCUUAGUGUUUUUGAACAAGGGAAAAGGUGGGUGCUGUCAGUUCCCUGGCUGUCCAAAAUCACUGAGUGCCAUCAUGUCCUGAAAGAAGCAAUAGCUGGACUGACCCUGGAACUUAUUUGCAUCGAGGGAAAGGACAGUGCUGUCCUUAUUCUUAAUUUAUCAGUCCUCACUGAACUGAGAGCUGACUGAGGCUCUGACUGAGAGGAGCUCAUGCUGUACUGUGAGAUUUCGGUUACUGUGGAGGCUUUCUCCUUGCCAGGCUAAACUGCAUGCUGGAAGCAGAGAAUAGGGAAGGUCCCAAAGAGGCACUUCUCUUAAAAGAAACAAAAACCAUUUUUUUUCAGUUUGUGUGUGACAGUGAGGCAGCCUUGGUUAGCAUUGGUUUUGGGAAACCUCUGCAGUUGAUCACGACAGGAGAUGAGUAAGAUCAUGCUCGCUCAUGAAAGCACCUUCUUCCAGAGACCACUGCUUGCUCCUGAUCUGCUGCUAAUUAGUCUCCGCCCUGUGAUACUGAGUCAUUAUAUUCUUUGCCCUUUUCCAUGGCUGCUUUUGGUGUGGAAACUGACACAAAUAUUGCUCCCCUGCUGGAAAUCAUCAUGUCAUCUUCAUCGUCAGUACCUGUAAGCCCAGAUGAGAAGGGAAUCUUUUUUUAUUAUUAUUAUUUUGGAUAAUGAUCUCUGACAGGAAUGCUUUGAAGCUCAGCCAUGCUGUGGUGGUACAGUGCACAUAGCAUCUGACUCGUUUCUGUAAUGUCACAAAUUUUAACUCCAAAAGCAGAAAAGCUCUUAAGCAGCCUUUAAAGGUGCUGCCAGGAAAAGGUGGAGGGAUUCUAC
Molecule: long non-coding RNA, 4037 nt
Organism: Oxyura jamaicensis (ruddy duck)
Lineage: Eukaryota; Metazoa; Chordata; Aves; Anseriformes; Anatidae
Exons: 14
Source: RefSeq, a predicted model, not a curated record